This is a long non-coding RNA of Pipistrellus kuhlii (Kuhl's pipistrelle), 149 nucleotides long. RefSeq lists it as uncharacterized. The record is from RefSeq and is a predicted model, not a curated record. Lineage: Eukaryota; Metazoa; Chordata; Mammalia; Chiroptera; Vespertilionidae. The transcript has 4 exons.
UAAAAGAGGAAGGGACUUGCCGAGACUGGUUUGGCUCAAUGGAUAGAGCGUCGGCUUGGGGACUGAAAGGUCCCAGGUUCGAUUCUGGUCGAGGGCAUGUACCUUGGUUGCAGGCACAUCCCCAGUAGGGGUGGUGCAAGAGGCAGCUG